Molecule: ribosomal RNA, 497 nt
Filed under: uncultured bacterium
Lineage: Bacteria
Description: partial 16S ribosomal RNA
Rfam family: Bacterial small subunit ribosomal RNA
Source: RNAcentral
GAUGAACGCUGGCGGCGUGCCUAAUACAUGCAAGUCGAGCGAACAGACGAGGAGCUUGCUCCUCUGACGUUAGCGGCGGACGGGUGAGUAACACGUGGAUAACCUACCUAUAAGACUGGGAUAACUUCGGGAAACCGGAGCUAAUACCGGAUAAUAUAUUGAACCGCAUGGUUCAAUAGUGUAAGACGGUUUUGCUGUCACUUAUAGAUGGAUCCGCGCCGCAUUAGCUAGUUGGUAAGGUAACGGCUUACCAAGGCAACGAUGCGUAGCCGACCUGAGAGGGUGAUCGGCCACACUGGAACUGAGACACGGUCCAGACUCCUACGGGAGGCAGCAGUAGGGAAUCUUCCGCAAUGGGCGAAAGCCUGACGGAGCAACGCCGCGUGAGUGAUGGAGGUCUUCGGAUCGUAAAACUCUGUUAUUAGGGAAGAACAAAUGUGUAAGUAACUAUGCACGUCUUGACGGUACCUAAUCAGAAAGCCACGGCUAACUACGUG